Non-coding RNA from Caenorhabditis elegans, 150 nucleotides. The record is from Ensembl. NCBI's taxonomy places the organism in Eukaryota, Metazoa, Nematoda, Chromadorea, Rhabditida, Rhabditidae.
UGUGGUCAUUGGGAGUAAACUCACUUGGGAAGCAUUUUGCACAACAAUAGGCGUCUAUUUUUAGACCACUGAGCAUAGGAUGCUGGUCGAUCGUGAUACGAAUAAUGUCUUCUCAUCUUUCUAUGUAGUUUUUACUCGCCCUGAACGUCU